GCCGAGGUGGCGGAAUGGCAGACGCACGUGGUUCAGGGCCACGCGAGCGCAAGCUCAUGGGGGUUCAAAUCCCCCCCUCGGCACCA
This 86-nucleotide transfer RNA is filed under the name Chloroflexota bacterium. RNAcentral describes it as "tRNA-Leu". It matches the Rfam family "tRNA". Rfam says of the family: Transfer RNA (tRNA) molecules are approximately 80 nucleotides in length. Their secondary structure includes four short double-helical elements and three loops (D, anti-codon, and T loops). Further hydrogen bonds mediate the characteristic L-shaped molecular structure. tRNAs have two regions of fundamental functional importance: the anti-codon, which is responsible for specific mRNA codon recognition, and the 3' end, to which the tRNAs corresponding amino acid is attached (by aminoacyl-tRNA synthetases). tRNAs cope with the degeneracy of the genetic code in two manners: having more than one tRNA (with a specific anti-codon) for a particular amino acid; and 'wobble' base-pairing, i.e. permitting non-standard base-pairing at the 3rd anti-codon position. The record is from RNAcentral. Lineage: Bacteria; Bacillati; Chloroflexota.